UACGGAGGAUCCGAGCGUUAUCCGGAUUUAUUGGGUUUAAAGGGUGCGCAGGCGGGAGAUUAAGUCGGCGGUGAAAUUUUGCAGCUCAACUGUAAAAGUGCCUUCGAAACUGGUUUCCUUGAGUGUAGAUGAAGUAGGCGGAAUUUGUGGUGUAGCGGUGAAAUGCAUAGAUAUCACGAGGAACUCCGAUUGCGCAGGCAGCUUACUAAGCCAUAACUGACGCUCAAGCACGAAGGCGUGGGGAUCAAACAGGAUUAGAUACCCCCGUAGU
This 271-nucleotide ribosomal RNA is filed under the name uncultured prokaryote. RNAcentral's name for it is "partial 16S ribosomal RNA". It matches the Rfam family "Bacterial small subunit ribosomal RNA", at positions 524 to 794 of the family's 1533-position model. The record is from RNAcentral.